GUCGAGCGAGACCUUCGGGUCUAGCGGCGGACGGGUGAGUAACGCGUGGGAAUGUGCCCUUCUCUACGGAAUAGUCCCGGGAAACUGGGUUUAAUACCGUAUACGCCCUUCGGGGGAAAGAUUUAUCGGAGANAGGAUCAGCCCGCGUCUGAUUAGGUAGUUGGUGGGGUAAUGGCCUACCAAGCCUACSAUCAGUAGCUGGUUUUAGAGGAUGAUCAGCCACACUGGGACUGAGACACGGCCCCAGACUCCUACGGGAGGCAGCAGUGGGGAAUCUUAGACAAUGGGCGCAAGCCUGAUCUAGCCAUGCCGCGUGAGUGAUGAAGGCCUUAGGGUCGUAAAACUCUUUCGCCAGGGAUGAUAAUGACAGUACCUGGUAAAGAAGCCCCGGCUAACUCCGUGCCAGCAGCCGCGGUAAUACGGAGGGGGCUAGCGUUGUUCGGAAUUACUGGGCGUAAAGCGCGCGUAGGCGGACUAUUAAGUCAGGGGUGAAAUCCCGGGGCUCAACCCCGGAACUGCCCUUGAUACUGGUAGUCUUGAGUUCGAGAGAGGUGAGUGGAAUUCCGAGUGUAGAGGUGAAAUUCGUAGAUAUUCGGAGGAACACCAGUGGCGAAGGCGGCUCACUGGCUCGAUACUGACGCUGAGGUGCGAAAGUGUGGGGAGCAAACAGGAUUAGAUACCCUGGUAGUCCACACCGUAAACGAUGAAUGCCAGUCGUCGGCAAGCAUGCUUGUCGGUGACACACCUAACGGAUUAAGCAUUCCGCCUGGGGAGUACGGUCGCAAGAUUAAAACUCAAAUGAAUUGACNGAGGCCCGC
This 818-nucleotide ribosomal RNA is filed under the name uncultured Rhodobacterales bacterium. RNAcentral describes it as "SSU rRNA". It matches the Rfam family "Bacterial small subunit ribosomal RNA", at positions 61 to 924 of the family's 1533-position model. The record is from RNAcentral. Lineage: Bacteria; Pseudomonadati; Pseudomonadota; Alphaproteobacteria; Rhodobacterales.